UGCCAGCCGCCGCGGUAACACGGGGGGCGCAAGCGUUAUUCGGAAUUAUUGGGCGUAAAGGGCGCGCAGGCGGUUCGUUAAGUCUGAUGUGAAAGCCCGGGGCUCAACCCCGGAAGUGCAUUGGAAACUGGCGAACUUGAGUACGGGAGAGGAAAGUGGAAUUCCGAGUGUAGGGGUGAAAUCCGUAGAUAUUCGGAGGAACACCAGAGGCGAAGGCGACUAACUGGCAGAGUAUUGACGCUGAGGUGCGAAAGCGUGGGGAGCAAACAGGAUUAGAUA
Molecule: ribosomal RNA, 279 nt
Filed under: uncultured bacterium
Lineage: Bacteria
Description: partial 16S ribosomal RNA
Rfam family: Bacterial small subunit ribosomal RNA
Source: RNAcentral